This 468-nucleotide ribosomal RNA is filed under the name uncultured bacterium. Its description in RNAcentral is "partial 16S ribosomal RNA". It matches the Rfam family "Bacterial small subunit ribosomal RNA", at positions 28 to 507 of the family's 1533-position model. The record is from RNAcentral.
GACGAACGCUGGCGGCGUGCUUAACACAUGCAAGUCGAACGGAAAGGCCCUGCUUUUGUGGGGUGCUCGAGUGGCGAACGGGUGAGUAACACGUGAGUAACCUGCCCUUGACUUUGGGAUAACUUCAGGAAACUGGGGCUAAUACCGGAUAGGAUCUCCUGCUGCAUGGUGGGGGUUGGAAAGUUUCGGCGGUUGGGGAUGGACUCGCGGCUUAUCAGCUUGUUGGUGGGGUAGUGGCUUACCAAGGCUUUGACGGGUAGCCGGCCUGAGAGGGUGACCGGCCACAUUGGGACUGAGAUACGGACCAGACUCCUACGGGAGGCAGCAGUGGGGAAUAUUGCACAAUGGGCGGAAGCCUGAUGCAGCAACGCCGCGUGAGGGAUGACGGCCUUCGGGUUGUAAACCGCUUUCGCCUGUGACGAAGCGUGAGUGACGGUAAUGGGUAAAGAAGCACCGGCUAACUACGUG